Homo sapiens (human) is the source of this 154-nucleotide non-coding RNA. It matches the Rfam family "Metazoan signal recognition particle RNA", at positions 96 to 252 of the family's 299-position model. Rfam says of the family: The signal recognition particle (SRP) is a universally conserved ribonucleoprotein. It is involved in the co-translational targeting of proteins to membranes. NCBI's taxonomy places the organism in Eukaryota, Metazoa, Chordata, Mammalia, Primates, Hominidae. The record is from Rfam.
UGCCGACAAGGUGUCCGCACUAAGUUCAGUAUCAGUAUGGUGACCUCCUGGGAACAGGUCAUCGGCUUGCCUAAGGAUGGGAGAACUGGCCCAGGUCAGAAAGGGAGCAGGUCAGAAUUCCUGCACCAAUCGGUAGUGGGACUGUGCCUGGGCA